CCUACGGGAGGCUGCAGUGGGGGAUAUUGCACAAUGGGGGGAACCCUGAUGCAGCGACGCCGCGUGGGUGAAGAAGCGCCUCGGCGCGUAAAGCCCUGUCAGCAGGGAAGAAAAUGACGGUACCUGAAGAAGAAGCCCCGGCUAACUACGUGCCAGCAGCCGCGGGAAUACGUAGGGUGCAAGCGUUAGCCGGAUUUACUGGGUGUAAAGGGGGCGCAGACGGCGCUGCAAGCCAGGAGUGAAAGCCCGGGGCCCAACCCCGGGACUGCUCUUGGAACUGCGUGGCUGGAGUGCAGGAGGGGCAGGCGGAAUUCCUGGUGUAGCGGUGAAAUGCGUAGAUAUCAGGAGGAACACCGGUGGCGAAGGCGGCCUGCUGGACUGCAACUGACGUUGAGGCCCGAAAGCGUGGGGAGCAAACAGGAUUAGAUACCCGAGUAGUC
RNAcentral lists this ribosomal RNA (440 nucleotides) under uncultured bacterium. Its description in RNAcentral is "partial 16S ribosomal RNA". It matches the Rfam family "Bacterial small subunit ribosomal RNA", at positions 338 to 795 of the family's 1533-position model. The record is from RNAcentral.